GACGAACGCUGGCGGCGUGCUUAACACAUGCAAGUCGAACGAUGAAGCCUAGCUUGCUAGGUGGAUUAGUGGCGAACGGGUGAGUAAUACGUGAGUGACCUACCUUUGACUCUGGGAUAAGCCUGGGAAACUGGGCCUAAUACCGGAUACGACCAAUCUCCGCAUGGGGUGUUGGUGGAAAGCGUUAUGGAGUGGUUUUAGAUGGGCUCACGGCCUAUCAGCUUGUUGGUGAGGUAAUGGCUUACCAAGGCGACGACGGGUAGCCGGCCUGAGAGGGUGACCGGCCACACUGGGACUGAGACACGGCCCAGACUCCUACGGGAGGCAGCAGUGGGGAAUAUUGCACAAUGGGCGCAAGCCUGAUGCAGCGACGCCGCGUGAGGGAUGACGGCCUUCGGGUUGUAAACCUCUGUUAGCAUCGAAGAAGCGAAAGUGACGGUAGGUGCAGAGAAAGCGCCGGCUAACUACGUG
This 471-nucleotide ribosomal RNA is filed under the name uncultured bacterium. RNAcentral's name for it is "partial 16S ribosomal RNA". It matches the Rfam family "Bacterial small subunit ribosomal RNA", at positions 28 to 507 of the family's 1533-position model. The record is from RNAcentral.